Talpa occidentalis (Iberian mole) is the source of this 112-nucleotide small nuclear RNA. Lineage: Eukaryota; Metazoa; Chordata; Mammalia; Eulipotyphla; Talpidae. The record is from RefSeq and is a predicted model, not a curated record.
GUGCUUGCUUAGGCAGCACAUACACUAAAAUUGGAAGGAUACAAAGAUUUGCGUGGCCCCUGAGCAAGAAUGAUACGCAAUUUAUAAAUUGUUUGAUAUUUAACAUAUUUUU